This 809-nucleotide long non-coding RNA is filed under the name Gossypium barbadense (sea-island cotton). RNAcentral describes it as "long non-coding RNA (GBAR_LNC018694)". Lineage: Eukaryota; Viridiplantae; Streptophyta; Magnoliopsida; Malvales; Malvaceae. The record is from RNAcentral.
AUAAAAAAAUUUCAAAACAUUUUUUUCUCUCUGUUUUCUUUCAAGAAAGACGACCCCUCCCCUCCCAUCUCUCAAAACUCCGGCCAUUUAGGCCUUUUCGGCCUCCGGCGCACCGCCAUCGUGGCCCUAGGCCGACGGCGAGGGAAAAGGGCUACUCAGGUAUAUUUCUUUUCCUUCCCCCUUUUCUUUGUUUUCGUAUAUACAAGAAUAAAAAUAAAAUAACAAUAAUAAGAGAUUGAAAUCUAGAAAAAUAAGAUGAAAUCACCUUGAAACUAGUUUCCCUGUUUUUAUAUUUUUUGAAUCUCUGUUUCAAUCCGUUUCUUGUUACAAAAAGUCCCCUUUUUAUCAAAAAUAAAGAUCGGUUCCCCCCCUUUUACAAACAUAAAGAUCCCCCCUUUAGAUCUGUUUGAAUGGCUUUUAAAUAGCCAUUUUACAAUUUUUCUAUUGUUUCUACUGCUGUUUUGUCCUUCUUUGCUUGCGUGUUUGAAGGUGGAGCAGGUGAGGACGAUGGGACGUGCGCGGCGCAAGUGAGGUGAGUCGGUGGUGGCAGUUGCGGUGGCAAUGUCAGACGGUCCUAGGUGCGCCGCACCUAGGGUUAGGGUUUUUUUUUAUUUGUGUUUUGGGUAAUGGGUUUUGUAAUUGGGUUUGGGUAGGUUUUAAAUUUUUGGGCUUGUUACUUGGUGAGGCCCGGGUGAAUUUGGGCUGUACACAAGCUAUUCCAUAAUUUUUUUCUCAUAAUUUUCUCAAUAUUCAAACCCGAAAUUACAUGUCAUAUCAAAAUUUUCAGGGUGCUACAACUUGACUUCAAU